GGGGUCGUAGCUCAGUUGGUAGAGCGCUACAAUCGCACUGUAGAGGUCAGGAGUUCGACUCUCCUCGGCUCCA
This 73-nucleotide transfer RNA is filed under the name Puniceicoccales bacterium. Its description in RNAcentral is "tRNA-Ala". It matches the Rfam family "tRNA". From Rfam's summary of the family: Transfer RNA (tRNA) molecules are approximately 80 nucleotides in length. Their secondary structure includes four short double-helical elements and three loops (D, anti-codon, and T loops). Lineage: Bacteria; Pseudomonadati; Verrucomicrobiota; Opitutia; Puniceicoccales. The record is from RNAcentral.